This 1110-nucleotide long non-coding RNA is filed under the name Anas zonorhyncha (Eastern spot-billed duck). Its description in RNAcentral is "lncRNA (ENSAZOG00000012286.1)". Lineage: Eukaryota; Metazoa; Chordata; Aves; Anseriformes; Anatidae. The record is from RNAcentral.
AUGCUGGGUGCGGGGGACGCAGCAGGGGUGGGCUUGGAGCAGCCCCAGGAGCUGGCCUGGCAGGACGAGGAGGGGGCUCUCCCGAGGACCAUGCCAUUGCUCUCCCCACCCGCUCCAUCACCGUUUCUAUCCUGCCACCUACCCUCCUUCUGGAGGCAGCAGGCAAAGUUGGAGCCCUUGCCCCAAAUCCAGGCCUCCCAGGGGAGCCCAGCUCCCCACAGCUACUCCUUCGGGGCUGGGCCCCUCUCUGCUCUGCCCUUGCUCCCUGCAGCCUCCCCUCGGGGCCAGGGCGAUGCUGGCAGGCUCUGCUGGGCUCGUCCUCCCACAACAGUACCCGCAGCAUCCCCACACCAUCCCCAGAGAGGUCUGCCCAGCACUUUGGCUUUUUGGAAGAGGAGAGAGAGUCAGCACCCCACUGGUGCUGAGGGCAGAGGGGGCUGGAGCCCACUGUGGGGUCUCACUGGGCAGGCAGAGCGCAGGUACCUGGGGCCAGGCAGGGGCCAGGUCCCCUCUCCCCGAGGUGCCAGCAGCCACGCUCGGGGCUCGGUGCUGGGCCCUGGUGCUGCUGGAGCCCUGUGCCAGCCAGGCCAGCCCUGGCGUGCCAAGUGCCAAAGGCAGGGGCAGACAGCUCUGCCUCCACAGCAUCCCCCGGGGUGCCUCUGCCUGGCUUUGCAGGCCUCACCUCUGAGGUGCUGCAAGGCCUUUGCGGAGUGCUUGGCCCUGCCAAAGCUCCGCUGGCAGCUCACCGGGGCUGGGAUGUGCCUGGCAGGGCUCUGCCCCAUGCCUGGGCACCGAGCCCAGGCCCUUGGCCGUGCUCCCGUGUGGAAGCAGCGCGGGGGCAAUCCGGCUGCCUGCAGCUCCAGGGGGGAUGCGUGGGCCGGGCUUCGGUCCCCUCCUGCCCCGUGCUGCGGUCCCCUUUAUGGACCACCUGGAGAGGCUGAUCCCCAGCGCUGCAGUGAGCAGAAGGCGGGCUUGAGGAGACACCAACCCCGGGCAGCGCCUGGGCGGCGUGUGGGGCUGCGGGGCUGCCUCCCCUCGCCCUUCCCGCACAGAAGGGCAGGGGCUUGGGGGCUCCGCAGCCAACCCCAACUGCCCCUCCGGAGCCAGUAG